UCGGGAAUCUUGCACAAUGGGCGAAAGCCUGAUGCAGCAACACCGUGUGAGCGACGAAGGUCUUCGGAUCGUAAAGCUCUGUUGUUGGGGACGAAGGGCGAAGGGUUAAUAGCCCCUAGCCUGACGGUACCCUUCGAGGAAGCCCCGGCUAACUACGUGCCAGCAGCCGCGGUAAUACGUAGGGGGCGAGCGUUGUCCGGAAUUAUUGGGCGUAAAGAGCGUGUAGGCGGUUCGGUAAGUCUGCCGUGAAAACCUGGGGCUCAACCCUGGGCGUGCGGUGGAUACUGCCGGGCUAGAGGAUGGCAGAGGCGAGUGGAAUUCCCGGUGUAGCGGUGAAAUGCGUAGAGAUUGGGAAGAACACCAGUGGCGAAGGCGCUCGACUGGGCCGUAACUGACACUCAGGGACGAAAGCUAGGGUAGCGAAAGGGAUUAGAUACCCCCGUAGUCC
RNAcentral lists this ribosomal RNA (448 nucleotides) under uncultured prokaryote. Its description in RNAcentral is "bacterial SSU rRNA". It matches the Rfam family "Bacterial small subunit ribosomal RNA", at positions 355 to 796 of the family's 1533-position model. The record is from RNAcentral.